This 260-nucleotide ribosomal RNA is filed under the name uncultured bacterium. RNAcentral's name for it is "partial 16S ribosomal RNA". It matches the Rfam family "Bacterial small subunit ribosomal RNA", at positions 1066 to 1324 of the family's 1533-position model. The record is from RNAcentral.
CGUGAGAUGUUGGGUUAAGUCCCGCAACGAGCGCAACCCCUAUCCUUUGUUGCCAGCACGCAAUGGUGGGAACUCAAAGGAGACUGCCGCGGACAACGCGGAGGAAGGCGGGGAUGACGUUCAAGUCAUCAUGCCCCUUAUGUCCUGGGCUACACACGUACUACAAUGGGAUGGACAGAGAGCAGCGAAGCCGCGAGGCCAAGCGAACCCCAUAAACCAUCUCCCAGUUCGGAUUGCAGGCUGCAACCCGCCUGCAUGAA